Molecule: ribosomal RNA, 629 nt
Filed under: uncultured bacterium
Lineage: Bacteria
Description: bacterial SSU rRNA
Rfam family: Bacterial small subunit ribosomal RNA
Source: RNAcentral
UCGAACGAAGCAUAGGAGUGGAAUUUUUCGGAAGGAAACAACUAUGACUGAGUGGCGGACGGGUGAGUAACGCGUGGGUAACCUGCCUCAUACAGGGGGAUAACAGUUAGAAAUGACUGCUAAUACCGCAUAAGCGCACAAAACCGCAUGGUUUGGUGUGAAAAACUGAGGUGGUAUGAGAUGGACCCGCGUCUGAUUAGCUAGUUGGAGAGGUAACGGCUCACCAAGGCAACGAUCAGUAGCCGACCUGAGAGGGUGACCGGCCACAUUGGGACUGAGACACGGCCCAAACUCCUACGGGAGGCAGCAAUGGGGAAUAUUGCACAAUGGGGGAAACCCUGAUGCAGCAACGCCGCGUGGGUGAAGAAGUAUUUCGGUAUGUAAAGCCCUAUCAGCAGGGAAGAAGAGAGACGGUACCUGACUAAGAAGCCCCGGCUAACUACGUGCCAGCAGCCGCGGUAAUACGUAGGGGGCAAGCGUUAUCCGGAUUUACUGGGUGUAAAGGGAGCGUAGACGGCUUGAUAAGUCUGAAGUGAAAGGCCAAGGCUUAACCAUGGAACUGCUUUGGAAACUAUGAGGCUAGAGUGCUGGAGAGGUAAGCGGAAUUCCUAGUGUAGCGGUGAAAUGCG